AAUGAUGAAUGUCAUAGAUUAGACAUAGAAUAGUUUAUUCUAUAAAUGAAAGUGUAAGCAUUCCACCUCAAGAGUAAUUUGGCAACAUUGGAACUGAAAUCAUUAGACCGUUUCUGAAACCAGUAGUGAAGUAUGUUGUUUAAUUUGAUAAUCCGCAAAAAACCUUACCACAAUUUGAAUAUUUAUAUUAUUUUCUUAUCUAUUUAAUGAAAGGAAUAAAUAUAUUUACAAGCGUUGCACGGCUGUCUUCAGUUAAUGUCGUGAGACUUUGGUUAGUUCCAUUAAAUUAACGUAAACCCUCACUUUAUUUUUAUAUAAAGUUGUUCCCCACUAAAUUGGAUAAGAUAACAGGGACUAAGACAAGUCAUCAUGGCCUGAAUAUUGU
Molecule: ribosomal RNA, 385 nt
Filed under: Lecanora salicicola
Lineage: Eukaryota; Fungi; Ascomycota; Lecanoromycetes; Lecanorales; Lecanoraceae
Description: SSU rRNA
Rfam family: Bacterial small subunit ribosomal RNA
Source: RNAcentral